UAAGAAUUCAGAAAUAAAGGUGUCAAUUUCC
This 31-nucleotide non-coding RNA is filed under the name Mus musculus (house mouse). Lineage: Eukaryota; Metazoa; Chordata; Mammalia; Rodentia; Muridae. The record is from RNAcentral.